UACGUAGGGUGCAAGCGUUAAUCGGAAUUACUGGGCGUAAAGCGUACGCAGGCGGCUUUGCAAGACAGGUGUGAAAUCCCCGGGCCUAACCUGGGAACUGCAUUUGUGACUGCAUAGCUAGAGUUUGUCGGAGGGGGGUGGAAUUCCACGUGUAGCGGUGAAAUGCGUAGAUAUGUGGAGGAACACCGAUGGCGAAGGCAGCCCCCUGGGAUGUGACUGACGCUCAUGUACGAAAGCGUGGGGAGCAAACAGG
Molecule: ribosomal RNA, 253 nt
Filed under: uncultured bacterium
Lineage: Bacteria
Description: partial 16S ribosomal RNA
Rfam family: Bacterial small subunit ribosomal RNA
Source: RNAcentral